AUCUGCCUCCCUUUCUGACUGGCUGAUCCAGGUCCUGGAUGGUGCAGGGAGAGGAAAUGCUAAAGUGUUUCUUGUACCUGGAGAGUCCACCCCAAAUCCUUCUAGGCCCUAGAAUUUUCUCA
Molecule: small nucleolar RNA, 122 nt
Filed under: Echinops telfairi (small Madagascar hedgehog)
Lineage: Eukaryota; Metazoa; Chordata; Mammalia; Afrosoricida; Tenrecidae
Description: Small nucleolar RNA SNORA71 (ENSETEG00000026156.1)
Source: RNAcentral